CAGCUCCAAUAGCGUAUAUUAAAGUUGUUGCAGUUAAAAAGCUCGUAGUUGGAUUUCGGGGUGGCACGGCCGGUCCGCCGCAAGGUGUGUCACUGGCCGGGCCGUCCUUUUUCGCAAAGACUGCGUGUGCUCUUARCUGAGUGUGCGCAGGACUUGCGACGUUUACUUUGAAAAAAUUAGAGUGUUCAAAGCAGGCCAGCGCUUGAAUACAUAAGCAUGGAAUAAUGGAAUAGGACUUGGGUUCUAUUUUGUUGGUUUCUGGAACCGAAGUAAUGAUUAAGAGGGACAGUUGGGGGCAUUCGUAUUUCGUUGUCAGAGGUGAAAUUCUUGGAUUUACGAAAGACGAACUACUGCGAAAGCAUUUGCCAAGAAUGUUUUCA
This 380-nucleotide ribosomal RNA is filed under the name Actinia equina. RNAcentral's name for it is "SSU rRNA". Lineage: Eukaryota; Metazoa; Cnidaria; Anthozoa; Actiniaria; Actiniidae. The record is from RNAcentral.